This 476-nucleotide ribosomal RNA is filed under the name uncultured bacterium. RNAcentral's name for it is "SSU rRNA". It matches the Rfam family "Bacterial small subunit ribosomal RNA", at positions 26 to 518 of the family's 1533-position model. The record is from RNAcentral.
AGAAUCAACGCUGGCGGCGUGCCUAACACAUGCAAGUCGAACGAGAAAGUGGAGCAAUCCAUGAGUAAAGUGGCGACCGGGUGAGUAACACGUGACUAACCUACCCUCGAGUGGGGAAUAACUCCGGGAAACCGGGGCUAAUACCGCAUAACAUCUUCGGAACGCGAGUUCUGUUGAUCAAAGGAGCAAUUCGCUUGAGGAGGGAGUCGCGGCUGAUUAGCUAGUUGGCGGGGUAAUGGCCCACCAAGGCUUAGAUCGGUAGCCGGCCUGAGAGGGCGCACGGCCACACUGGAACUGAAACACGGUCCAGACUCCUACGGGAGGCAGCAGUGGGGAAUUUUGCGCAAUGGGGGAAACCCUGACGCAGCAACGCCGCGUGGAGGAUGAAGUCCCUUGGGAUGUAAACUCCUUUCGACCGGGAAGAUACUGACGGUACCGGUGGAAGAAGCACCGGCUAACUCUGCGCCAGCAGCCGC